Molecule: long non-coding RNA, 484 nt
Organism: Ornithodoros turicata
Lineage: Eukaryota; Metazoa; Arthropoda; Arachnida; Ixodida; Argasidae
Exons: 4
Source: RefSeq, a predicted model, not a curated record
AGGGUGUGAGCACGCAGUUGACCACCCGCCUACAUGAAGACGUGCAAGUCAGAAAGUAGCGUGUACCGCGGAAGGCAACGAAACAAGAGAUGGCACGAAAACAAAGAUGAUGAUGAAGCUCACGCCGUCAGGUACUCCACGUGGUCAUCCCCAAUUUUGUCGAGGCUUUGCAGGCGGUCGCAGACAACGUCGUCGCUACGUGAGACCUGCUAUUACCUAUGCGCAAGCAGAAGCGUGGCGGUUUCUACCUAACCAGGGAACAUCUUUUUCGUAAGAGCGACAACCCCGACAACUUCGACAGCGGAAAUUCACGCCUUCGACAUACAAAAGAGUUCAUUCUUUCAGCACCGCACAAAAAGUAUUAUUCUUGAGAACAGUGUCGAACUUGUCAUCUACGGCGCCCUGCCCAUGAGUGCAGGAAAAACGUGUGACUGGGUUCGCGAGCACUUAUGCAUUAUGAAAUAAAAUCAUCGAUGGCCCGCGG